This 89-nucleotide transfer RNA is filed under the name Sulfurimonas sp. RNAcentral's name for it is "tRNA-Ser". It matches the Rfam family "tRNA". Rfam says of the family: Transfer RNA (tRNA) molecules are approximately 80 nucleotides in length. RNAcentral also lists the same sequence under 2 other names. Lineage: Bacteria; Pseudomonadati; Campylobacterota; Epsilonproteobacteria; Campylobacterales; Sulfurimonadaceae. The record is from RNAcentral.
GGAUCUUUGGCAGAGUUGGUCGAAUGCACCGGUCUUGAAAACCGGCGAGGGUCACACCUCCCAGAGUUCGAAUCUCUGAGGGUCCACCA